Paramuricea clavata is the source of this 2348-nucleotide non-coding RNA. The record is from the annotation of a GenBank genome assembly. Lineage: Eukaryota; Metazoa; Cnidaria; Anthozoa; Malacalcyonacea; Plexauridae.
CCACUGAGCUAUACUAUAUUACUGGAGGACCUGCUCGGGAUAAGAAAGUGUCCGCAAAAACAUGGCGGAUCUGACGCCAUUGCCAUGACUACUGGUCCCUAGAUUCAUGGCAACUACCACUGCCCCAACCGCGAUCCUAAGCUUUCGACAAUGUACUUCACCCCCCUGGUUUCAGCCCAAAAAUUUUGUUUUCGAGGUAUUAAAAAUCUCAUUGAAAAUCUUGAUAUUUUUAUCCCAGUUUGCUUGAUUUACAACGGACACUGCCUUUUUGCGCCGCUCGUAUGUAUGAGAACUCUUCAAACAAGAACUAGAAGAAUAUUUUUAUUCACCGGUAAGAUUUUUACGGAUUUUUAUAUAUGAAUAUUUCUAGAUUCUAGCUUGCUUGAUUAAACUCGAUAGAAAUACAAAUCCCUGUAGGAAAAAUGGUUGGGAAUUCUGUAAUUUUAUUGUUCUUGUGAUUUACCACUAGCCUCUGUGUUUUCAUAUGGUUUUAAAGGCUGCUUGUGGUGUUAAAAUCCUUACUGAGCACUUAUAUAUUGAUUUAGUACUACAGACUUCAGUGUUAUAGAGAUACGGUAUAUUAAAGCAAAUUUUCCCUGACAAACUUUGAGUGAUAUAUAUCCUUGCCAGGUUCUUGUAGCAGUUAUUUAUAAUUUCAUACUGUGUAGUUAUAUUAAAUGUCACUUCUACAACAGGCAAACUGAAAAAUUGCUUUGCUAGGCCAAAGAUAAUGUAUCAAGUUCAAACCAUUCAAAUGAUUCAAUACCCAUUGCAAUCAAGCAAUAACCAUAAACCUCUGAAUAUAUAAGCCCCAAUGACAGACCCCAAAUAUAAGCCCUCCUGUGUAGAACGGCCACCAUAAGAAAUUCUGAAUAUAAUUAAGCCCUCUCCCGAAUUUAAGUCCCUCAGUCUGUGUUAGCCAAUGGACUUAUUUUUGGACAGGUAUUUUUUAAUGCAGUAAAGGGAUCCAUUCCAACAGCUCAGCCAUCAAAAAUGCUGAUGAAUGCAUACAAGCAUUCAGAGGUUUACAUGGUACAUUCAUCUGACCAACAUAGUUUGUCAGAGUUCUAUAAAUCCCACAGCCAUUAGAGUUGUAGUUAAGUAUUUGUAGGAAUGAAGGGUGUGUACGUGCCAGCCAAUGCAUAUUCUCUCAAUCACUGCCCUUGGCAUUGACCGAAAUUGUGCCCUGACAAUUAACCAAUUAAAUUGAUGAUUGAUAACAUGUUUGAGAGCAUCUUCAGUGGGAGUGUUACUGUUCCCAGUAUUGGAGUAGAGCCCAACUGUUCAGUUAGACAUUAUUUAUGAACUUUCUCUCUUAGACCUGCAUACAUUAGAUUAUUUUGAUAUAUUCUAAUGUAAAAUGAAACUUUGGGAUAGUUAAGAAAUACAAUUAAUCCAUUUAUAAUGGACAAUUGUCAUCUUGACAAGUAAAAUUUCCUGGCAUAUUAGACGGGCUUAUAAAUGCCAGAACUUAUAUAUGUAAAAUUACUGAGUGAGUCAAUUUAUUUGACAUACCAUGAUAUUAAUUAACCAUUAGGUUGCAUUGUGCCCUAAUGCACCCUACUUUAUUAUUUUACUCUGUCUAACACCAGACAGUUGUGGACUGGAGAGCCAUGCAUUAACAUAUCAAUAAUGUCUAAGUGAACAGUUUAGGCUCUGCUCUACAGUAAAUUUCCCUGUAAUCGGAGUCUGGGAUCUGUGACCCAAUACAUCUUCAGUGUCUUCAUAUGAUACUGUCACUAUUUUAUAUGUAUAAUGGACAUUUCUCAUUCAGGGCGAAACUGAUGUAAGUCAUGUGGACAAGAAAUUAAUACAAGUUCUUUCAAAUGUGAAAAAAAAGAGUAGUGGUGCACUACCUCUUGCCAGACCUAACUGGCAGAACUAACAAUGACUUUUCUCUAUAAUUUUGUGGGAAUGUGUUAUAUUUACUCUGUACAAACAGCCAAAAAAUGAUGCAUGAGCUCUAGUUUUAAUAAUACUGUAUUAUAUAUUUUAAAAUUAUUCACUGCAUGGUCAAAGAAUAAUUAUGAAAUUAGCAAUUUUAAUUAAAAUAAAUAAUACACAAAAUCAAGCAAAUUUUUGUCUUUAAUUAAUUUUGAAACAUUACUGCAAUACAUGUUUCUUGGUAUGGAGUUUCACUAACAACAGGGGCAUGAACUCUAGCCUCCUCCACAGGUAUCUCACCCGAGGAAUCGAGUGAUGGGAACCCAUUUGCAGGCUAAAACGCAAACAGGAAGGGGAAAAUGGGCAUACGGGAAGGGAAAAAUUAGGGGGGCGGAAAGAAAUUUGCCCGACUUUUUCGGAUUGUGCCCGAGUUCCAAACUUUCCAAAAGUGUUGUCGAUUGGGG